AGCACAGAGAGCUUGCUCUCGGGUGACGAGCGGCGGACGGGUGAGUAAUGUCUGGGAAACUGCCUGAUGGAGGGGGAUAACUACUGGAAACGGUAGCUAAUACCGCAUAACGUCGCAAGACCAAAGUGGGGGACCUUCGGGCCUCAUGCCAUCAGAUGUGCCCAGAUGGGAUUAGCUAGUAGGUGGGGUAACGGCUCACCUAGGCGACGAUCCCUAGCUGGUCUGAGAGGAUGACCAGCCACACUGGAACUGAGACACGGUCCAGACUCCUACGGGAGGCAGCAGUGGGGAAUAUUGCACAAUGGGCGCAAGCCUGAUGCAGCCAUGCCGCGUGUGUGAAGAAGGCCUUCGGGUUGUAAAGCACUUUCAGCGGGGAGGAAGGCGUUAAGGUUAAUAACCUUGUCGAUUGACGUUACCCGCAGAAGAAGCACCGGCUAACUCCGUGCCAGCAGCCGCGGUAAUACGGAGGGUGCAAGCGUUAAUCGGAAUUACUGGGCGUAAAGCGCACGCAGGCGGUCUGUCAAGUCGGAUGUGAAAUCCCCGGGCUCAACCUGGGAACUGCAUUCGAAACUGGCAGGCUAGAGUCUUGUAGAGGGGGGUAGAAUUCCAGGUGUAGCGGUGAAAUGCGUAGAGAUCUGGAGGAAUACCGGUGGCGAAGGCGGCCCCCUGGACAAAGACUGACGCUCAGGUGCGAAAGCGUGGGGAGCAAACAGGAUUAGAUACCCUGGUAGUCCACGCCGUAAACGAUGUCGAUUUGGAGGUUGUGCCCUUGAGGCGUGGCUUCCGGAGCUAACGCGUUAAAUCGACCGCCUGGGGAGUACGGCCGCAAGGUUAAAACUCAAAUGAAUUGACGGGGGCCCGCACAAGCGGUGGAGCAUGUGGUUUAAUUCGAUGCAACGCGAAGAACCUUACCUGGUCUUGACAUCCACAGAACUUUCCAGAGAUGGAUUGGUGCCUUCGGGAACUGUGAGACAGGUGCUGCAUGGCUGUCGUCAGCUCGUGUUGUGAAAUGUUGGGUUAAGUCCCGCAACGAGCGCAACCCUUAUCCUUUGUUGCCAGCGGUUAGGCCGGGAACUCAAAGGAGACUGCCAGUGAUAAACUGGAGGAAGGUGGGGAUGACGUCAAGUCAUCAUGGCCCUUACGACCAGGGCUACACACGUGCUACAAUGGCAUAUACAAAGAGAAGCGACCUCGCGAGAGCAAGCGGACCUCAUAAAGUAUGUCGUAGUCCGGAUUGGAGUCUGCAACUCGACUCCAUGAAGUCGGAAUCGCUAGUAAUCGUAGAUCAGAAUGCUACGGUGAAUACGUUCCCGGGCCUUGUACACACCGCCCGUCACACCAUGGGAGUGGGUUGCAAAAGAAGUAGGUAGCUUA
RNAcentral lists this ribosomal RNA (1374 nucleotides) under Klebsiella pneumoniae. RNAcentral describes it as "bacterial SSU rRNA". It matches the Rfam family "Bacterial small subunit ribosomal RNA", at positions 68 to 1437 of the family's 1533-position model. The record is from RNAcentral. Lineage: Bacteria; Pseudomonadati; Pseudomonadota; Gammaproteobacteria; Enterobacterales; Enterobacteriaceae.